This 1085-nucleotide ribosomal RNA is filed under the name mine drainage metagenome. Its description in RNAcentral is "bacterial SSU rRNA". It matches the Rfam family "Archaeal small subunit ribosomal RNA", at positions 385 to 1478 of the family's 1478-position model. The record is from RNAcentral.
GCCUAGACUUAUGUCUAGGCUGUUCUCGAGCCUAAAAAGCUCGAGAAGUAAGGGCCGGGUAAGACGGGUGCCAGCCGCCGCGGUAAUACCCGCGGCCCGAGUGGUGCUCAUUAUUAUUGAGCCUAAAGCGUCCGUAGCUGGCCAGACAAAUCUCCGGGUAAAUCGGGCGGCCCAACCGUCCGAAUUCCGGAGACACUGUUUGGCUUGGGAUCGGGAGAGGGUGAAGGUACUCCCGGGGUAGGGGUAAAAUCCUGUAAUCCUGGGGGGACCACCGGUGGCGAAGGCGUUCACCUAGAACGAAUCCGACAGUGAGGGACGAAGCCCUAGGGCGCAAACGGGAUUAGAUACCCCGGUAGUCUAGGGUGUAAACUCUGCAGACUUGGUGUUGGGGGUCCUGCGUGGGCUCCCAGUGCCGGAGUGAAGAUGUUAAGUCUGCCGCUUGGGGAGUACGGUCGCAAGACUGAAACUUAAAGGAAUUGGCGGGAGAGCACCGCAACGGGAGGAGCGUGCGGUUCAAUUGGAUUCAACGCCGAAAAACUCACCGGGGGCGACGGAGGGAUGAAAGCCAGGCCGAAGACCUUGCCCGAUUCUCCGAGAGGUGGUGCAUGGCCAUCGUCAGUUCGUACCGUAAGGCGUUCUGUUAAGUCAGAUAACGAACGAGACCCUCGCCCUCAGUCGCUAUUUCACCAGCGGUGGUGAGAGCACACUGGGGGGAUCGCUGCCGCUAAGGCAGAGGAAGGAGAGGUCUACGGUAGGUCCGUAUGCCCCGAAUCUCCCGGGCAACACGCGCGCUACAAAGGUGGGGACAAUGGGAUCCGACCCCGAAAGGGGAAGGCAAUCCUGAAACCCCAUCGUAGUCUGGAUCGAGGGCUGUAACUCGCCCUCGUGAAACUGGAUUCCGUAGUAAUCGCGGGUCAACAUCCCGCGGUGAAUGUGCCCCUGCUCUUUGCACACACCGCCCGUCAAGUCAUCCGAGUUGGGUCGGAGUGAGGGUGACUCUAUGGGUCGCUCGAACUUCGGUUCAGCAAGGGGGACUAAGUCGUAACAAGGUAUCUGUAGGGGAACCUGCAGAUGGAUCACCUCCU